This 1344-nucleotide ribosomal RNA is filed under the name uncultured bacterium. Its description in RNAcentral is "16S ribosomal RNA". It matches the Rfam family "Bacterial small subunit ribosomal RNA", at positions 28 to 1378 of the family's 1533-position model. The record is from RNAcentral.
GACGAACGCUGGCGGCGUGCUUAACACAUGCAAGUCGAACGGAAAGGCCCUGCUUUUGUGGGGUGCUCGAGUGGCGAACGGGUGAGUAACACGUGAGUAACCUGCCCUUGACUUUGGGAUAACUUCAGGAAACUGGGGCUAAUACCGGAUAGGAGCUCCUGCUGCAUGGUGGGGGUUGGAAAGUUUCGGCGGUUGGGGAUGGACUCGCGGCUUAUCAGCUUGUUGGUGGGGUAGUGGCUUACCAAGGCUUUGACGGGUAGCCGGCCUGAGAGGGUGACCGGCCACAUUGGGACUGAGAUACGGCCCAGACUCCUACGGGAGGCAGCAGUGGGGAAUAUUGCACAAUGGGCGGAAGCCUGAUGCAGCAACGCCGCGUGCGGGAUGACGGCCUUCGGGUUGUAAACCGCUUUCGCCUGUGACGAAGCGUGAGUGACGGUAAUGGGUAAAGAAGCACCGGCUAACUACGUGCCAGCAGCCACGGUGAUACGUAGGGUGCGAGCGUUGUCCGGAUUUAUUGGGCGUAAAGGGCUCGUAGGUGGUUGAUCGCGUCGGAAGUGUAAUCUUGGGGCUUAACCCUGAGCGUGCUUUCGAUACGGGUUGACUUGAGGAAGGUAGGGGAGAAUGGAAUUCCUGGUGGAGCGGUGGAAUGCGCAGAUAUCAGGAGGAACACCAGUGGCGAAAGGCGGUUCUCUGGGCCUUUCCUGACGCUGAGGAGCGAAAGCGUGGGGAGCGAACAGGCUUAGAUACCCUGGUAGUCCACGCUGUAAACGGUGGGUACUAGGUGUGGGGUCCAUUCCACGGGUUCCGUGCCGUAGCUAACGCUUUAAGUACCCCGCCUGGGGAGUACGGCCGCAAGGCUAAAACUCAAAGGAAUUGACGGGGCCCCGCACAAGCGGCGGAGCAUGCGGAUUAAUUCGAUGCAACGCGUAGAACCUUACCUGGGUUUGACAUGGAUCGGGAGCGCUCAGAGAUGGGUGUGCCUCUUUUGGGGUCGGUUCACAGGUGGUGCAUGGCUGUCGUCAGCUCGUGUCGUGAGAUGUUGGGUUAAGUCCCGCAACGAGCGCAACCCUUGUUCACUGUUGCCAGCACGUUAUGGUGGGGACUCAGUGGAGACCGCCGGGGUCAACUCGGAGGAAGGUGGGGAUGACGUCAAGUCAUCAUGCCCCUUAUGUCCAGGGCUUCACGCAUGCUACAAUGGCUGGUACAGAGAGUGGCGAGCCUGUGAGGGUGAGCGAAUCUCGGAAAGCCGGUCUCAGUUCGGAUUGGGGUCUGCAACUCGACCUCAUGAAGUCGGAGUCGCUAGUAAUCGCAGAUCAGCAACGCUGCGGUGAAUACGUUCCCGGG